GCCGGAGUGGUGGAAUUGGUAGACACAGGGGAUUCAAAAUCCCCCGGCAGCAAUGCCUUGCCGGUUCAAGUCCGGCCUUCGGUA
This 84-nucleotide transfer RNA is filed under the name Luminiphilus syltensis NOR5-1B. RNAcentral describes it as "gamma proteobacterium NOR51-B tRNA". It matches the Rfam family "tRNA". From Rfam's summary of the family: Transfer RNA (tRNA) molecules are approximately 80 nucleotides in length. The record is from Rfam by way of RNAcentral. Lineage: Bacteria; Pseudomonadati; Pseudomonadota; Gammaproteobacteria; Cellvibrionales; Halieaceae.